This 75-nucleotide transfer RNA is filed under the name Rickettsiales bacterium. RNAcentral describes it as "tRNA-Cys". It matches the Rfam family "tRNA". Rfam says of the family: Transfer RNA (tRNA) molecules are approximately 80 nucleotides in length. Lineage: Bacteria; Pseudomonadati; Pseudomonadota; Alphaproteobacteria; Rickettsiales. The record is from RNAcentral.
GGUCGGAUAGCAAAGUGGUAAUGCCGUAGCCUGCAAAGCUUCCAUGCGUCGGUUCGAUUCCGUCUCCGACCUCCA